AACUUUCAACAACGGAUCUCUUGGUUCUGGCAUCGAUGAAGAACGCAGCGAAAUGCGAUACGUAGUGUGAAUUGCAGAAUUCAGUGAAUCAUCGAAUCUUUGAACGCACAUUGCGCCCUUUGGUAUUCCAAAGGGCAUGCCUGUUCGAGCG
This 151-nucleotide ribosomal RNA is filed under the name Curvularia lunata. RNAcentral's name for it is "5.8S ribosomal RNA". It matches the Rfam family "5.8S ribosomal RNA". From Rfam's summary of the family: 5.8S ribosomal RNA (5.8S rRNA) is a component of the large subunit of the eukaryotic ribosome. Lineage: Eukaryota; Fungi; Ascomycota; Dothideomycetes; Pleosporales; Pleosporaceae. The record is from RNAcentral.